AUUAGAGUUUGAUCCUGGCUCAGAAUCAACGCUGGCGGCGUGCCUAACACAUGCAAGUCGAACGCGAAAGGGGCUUCGGCCCUGAGUAGAGUGGCAAACGGGUGAGUAACGCGUGGGUGACCUGCCCUCGAGUGGGGGAUAACGUUCCGAAAGGAGCGCUAAUACCGCAUGACAUCCUGCCUUUGGACAGGCGGUGAUCAAAGCUGGGGCCGCAAGGCCUGGCGCUUGAGGAGGGGCCCGCGUCCGAUUAGCUAGUUGGUAGGGUAAUGGCCUACCAAGGCGACGAUCGGUAAGCCGGCCUGAGAGGGCGGACGGCCACACUGGACUGAGACACGGCCCAGACUCCUAGGGAGGCAGCAGUGGGGAAUUGUUCGCAAUGGGGCGCAAGCCUGACGACGCAACGCCGCGUGGAGGAUGAAGGUCUUCGGAUUGUAACUCCCUGUUGACCGGAAGAAUGCCUUUGGGGCUAAUACCCCCGAAGG
RNAcentral lists this ribosomal RNA (482 nucleotides) under uncultured bacterium. RNAcentral's name for it is "bacterial SSU rRNA". It matches the Rfam family "Bacterial small subunit ribosomal RNA", at positions 1 to 473 of the family's 1533-position model. The record is from RNAcentral.